Long non-coding RNA from Poecilia latipinna (sailfin molly), 871 nucleotides. RefSeq lists it as uncharacterized. The record is from RefSeq and is a predicted model, not a curated record. Lineage: Eukaryota; Metazoa; Chordata; Actinopteri; Cyprinodontiformes; Poeciliidae. The transcript is spliced from 3 exons.
AAGGCAAAAAGCCUCGCCACAAGGCGAAUACUUCCUUCAUAUUAGUCACCAUUGACAUCUUAUUUUGCAGUGGCUUGAUCUAGUUAGUGCUGUCGCAGUCAGAAGUUGGUUGACAAACGUUAGCAUCUGAGCGAGACGUGCUCUGAACAGCAACAGCUGGCCAUCACAAAAGGAAGGAGAUAACCUCCCCCACCACCUUCUGUGUAAGAGUUAAAAUGCACUUUGCUAAAUAACAAAUUUGAUUUAUUUUACUUUCUUAAAAUCUGUGAAUUUUAUCUUUUGAGCUUUUAUUUUGAAGAUCCAGUUUUGUGCGUACGUGACUUCCUCUCCCUCACAUUACUGCCGUUGGAAACGCUACUGGUGCUUUUUCGGAGUCAGAAGUGUACAUAACACCAGAGGACAGCAGAUGUGUGAUUUAUUGUCUUCAGUGGCUCAAUAAUCACUGGAGUUGACGCCAAACAAAAGCCAAGCAGAGUGGCAGCUCAGUGAACGGAAACGCCUCGCUGAUGAGAGGGGUCAGUGGCUGACAGGAAGUCCUCGGUAGCUCAAACUGCCACUCGCUACAAAUGUGCUGGGGUGGAGAAACAGGUCAGAACAAACAACACACCCAACACUGAGGUGAUCAGACCCGACAGCAGAAAACCACCCCAGUCUCUCCUCCAGAUCAAAAAUAUGAAGCUAAGCUGAACAAAAACACUGCCUGAAUAUAAAUACAUUGGAAACUGGAUAAAAAGGGGAAAUUUGUUCCCGUACUCCAUAUUUAGACACAGAUAUGUUUCCUUUUCUUUAUUUCCUGGAGAUAUAUUGUUGGUAAUGACUGUGUCCUGUGUUGUUACACUGAUGAAAAACAAUAAAAAAUGCAUUUAAAUAU